GAUGAACGCUGACAGAAUGCUUAACACAUGCAAGUCUUUGGCGAAGCUGUGCUCGCACAGCCUAGCCAAGGCGGACGGGUGAGUAACGCGUAAGGAACUUGCCCUGCAGUCAGGGAUAACAGACGGAAACGACUGAUAAGACCUGGUAAAGUCAGGCGGACUCAUGUCCAGCCUGAUGAAAAGAGAUGCUGCAGGAGAGCCUUGCGUCCUAUUAGCUUGUUGGUGGGGUAACGGCCCACCAAGGCGAUGAUAGGUAGCCGGCCUGAGAGGGUGGACGGCCACAAGGGGACUGAGAUACGGCCCUUACUCCUACGGGAGGCAGCAGUGGGGAAUAUUGGACAAUGGGGGCAACCCUGAUCCAGCAAUUCUGUGUGCACGAUGAAGGUUUUCGGAUUGUAAAGUGCUUUCAGCAGGGAAGAAAAAAAUGACGGUACCUGCAGAAGAAGCGACGGCUAAAUAUGUG
This 463-nucleotide ribosomal RNA is filed under the name uncultured bacterium. Its description in RNAcentral is "partial 16S ribosomal RNA". It matches the Rfam family "Bacterial small subunit ribosomal RNA", at positions 28 to 507 of the family's 1533-position model. The record is from RNAcentral.